This 203-nucleotide long non-coding RNA is filed under the name Oryza brachyantha (malo sina). RNAcentral's name for it is "long non-coding RNA (OBRA_LNC000555)". Lineage: Eukaryota; Viridiplantae; Streptophyta; Magnoliopsida; Poales; Poaceae. The record is from RNAcentral.
GGGGCUCGGCCCGGGAUGCCUUAGCUGGGCGGCGACUCCGGCGAGCGCUCGGGCGGCUGGCUGGAUCCGCCGCGGGUGGGAAGAGGCGCGUGCGAGGUGCUCUCACCGGGAUCUCGGGUCCCGGCAGGAGCCUCGGGUGGAGGCGGAAGGUGUGAGGGGGAAGAGAGGAGGAAGGUGGGGGAGACGAGGAGAGGAGUACGCGC